RNAcentral lists this long non-coding RNA (202 nucleotides) under Elaeis guineensis (African oil palm). RNAcentral's name for it is "long non-coding RNA (EGUI_LNC016751)". The record is from RNAcentral. Lineage: Eukaryota; Viridiplantae; Streptophyta; Magnoliopsida; Arecales; Arecaceae.
CAUCCACAUGCCAAAGAUCAAGCUCUUCUCCAGCACUGCCUCUAACAUCGACAAGACCAACUCUGCCUAUAAGGCCACAAAAGUAGCCCACAGGGAUCUUCAUUGCCUUAUCCUCGAUCGAGAGAAUUGAUCUCUCUUAAGUAUUUUUGUCGGAAACACCAAGACUUGGCCGAUAUAUACUCACAGCAGUUCUACCUCAAAG